AAAAUGCAGCGUGGAGGUGGUGUGAAUCUCUUCUUUCUUUGCUGGAUCAAGGCAUUGCUGAUGGAGCGUGGAGCUGCAGCUGGAACAAGCCGAGACAUGUUACUCCAAAGCUUCAUGGAAGUUUGCCAAGUGUGGGCCGUGAUGCCACUUUGCUUUUUUUUCCAAUUGCAAAUAGCGUCAGACCUUGGAUAUAUGAAGGUUGGAUAGGAGCUGUUGUGUACGUGGAGGUCUUC
This 233-nucleotide long non-coding RNA is filed under the name Vigna radiata. Its description in RNAcentral is "long non-coding RNA (VRAD_LNC017657)". Lineage: Eukaryota; Viridiplantae; Streptophyta; Magnoliopsida; Fabales; Fabaceae. The record is from RNAcentral.